GAACUGCGAUAAGUAAUGUGAAUUGCAGAAUUCAGUGAAUCAUCGAGUCUUUGAACGCACAUUGCGCCCCCUGGCAUUCCGGGGGGGCAUGCCUGUCCGAGCGUCAUUGCUGCCCUUCAAGCCCGGCUUGUGUGUUGGGUCGUCGUCCCCUCCGGGGGACGGGCCCGAAAGGCAGCGGCGGCACCGCGUCCGGUCCUCGAGCGUAUGGGGCUUUGUCACCCGCUCGAUAAGGACCGGCCGGGCGCCAGCCGGCGUCUCCAACCUUUUUUUCUCAGGUUGACCUCGGAUCAGGUAGGGAUACCCGCUGAACUUAAGC
This 316-nucleotide unclassified non-coding RNA is filed under the name plant metagenome. RNAcentral describes it as "partial contains 5.8S ribosomal RNA, internal transcribed spacer 2, and large subunit ribosomal RNA". The stretch from base 1 to 106 matches the Rfam family "5.8S ribosomal RNA", at positions 50 to 154 of the family's 154-position model. The record is from RNAcentral.